GAAGCCAUAGUUCAGUGGUAGAACACAUGCUUAGAAUGCACAAGGUCCUGGGUUCAAUUCCCAGUACUUCCA
Molecule: transfer RNA, 72 nt
Filed under: Camelus bactrianus (Bactrian camel)
Lineage: Eukaryota; Metazoa; Chordata; Mammalia; Artiodactyla; Camelidae
Also listed under: 3 other names
Rfam family: tRNA
About the family: Transfer RNA (tRNA) molecules are approximately 80 nucleotides in length.
Source: Rfam by way of RNAcentral